UACAGAGGGUGCGAGCGUUGUCCGGAAUUACUGGGCGUAAAGGGCGCGUAGGCGGUUCGGUAAGUAGGAGGUGAAAUUUCGGGGCUCAACCCUGAAACUGCCUUCUAAACUGCCGAACUGGAGCACGGUAGAGGCAGAUGGAAUUCCCGGUGUAGCGGUGGAAUGCGUAGAGAUCGGGAAGAACACCAGUGGCGAAGGCGGUCUGCUGGGCCGUUGCUGACGCUGAGGCGCGAAAGCCAGGGGAGCGAACGGG
RNAcentral lists this ribosomal RNA (253 nucleotides) under uncultured bacterium. Its description in RNAcentral is "partial 16S ribosomal RNA". It matches the Rfam family "Bacterial small subunit ribosomal RNA", at positions 524 to 776 of the family's 1533-position model. The record is from RNAcentral.